This 478-nucleotide long non-coding RNA is filed under the name Ananas comosus (pineapple). RNAcentral describes it as "long non-coding RNA (ACOM_LNC015176)". The record is from RNAcentral. Lineage: Eukaryota; Viridiplantae; Streptophyta; Magnoliopsida; Poales; Bromeliaceae.
UGGAAGGACUUUAUUUUUUUAGGUAGCAUUUGGUUCGGGAGCAAGGGGGGAAUAAGCCUUUGUUUUUCCCUUUGUUCCCAAACGCAGCGUUUGGUACCCAAGAACAGUAGUUUUUGGAUUUCUGGAAUAAGUCGGUAUAAAGCUAGAACUGUUGUUCCAUCUUUUUCCUGGAACAAGCUUGUUUCCAGGUGAAAAUAAGAUUAACUAAAGUUUAAAAAUAAUGUUAAUUAUGGUAUUAAUUAAUUAAUUAAUUUAAUUAAUAUAUUUAAAUCAUUAUUUAAUGAGUAAUAAUAAAAUAAUUUAUUAAUUUAUUAUUAUAAUUAUUAAUUAAAUUAUUAUUAUUUAUAAUUAUUUAUUAAUUUAUAAUUAAUUAUUAAUUAAUUUAUUAAUUUAUAAUUAACUAAUUUAUCAUUUAUUUAUUCUUAAUUAAUUAAUAUAUUAUUAAUUAAUUAUUUCAUUUAGGGGAAACUUCAAAUAC